UCAUAGGUACACUUCAACUGUGAGAGACGGAAUCAAAAACAAAAAUCCAGAAAAUCACAAUGUAUGAUUUUUAAGUAAUUCAUUUGCAUUUUAUUGCAUGACAUAAGUAUUUGAUCACCUUCCAACCAGUAAGAAUUCCGGCUCUCACAGACCUGUUCGUUUUUCUUUAAGAAGCCCUCCUAUUCUCCACUCAUUACCUGUAUUAACUGCACCUGUUUGAACUCGUUACCUGUAUAAAAGACACCUGUCCACACACUCAAUCAAACAGACUCCAACCUCUCCACAAUGGCCAAGACCAGAGACCUGUGUAAGGACAUCAGGAGUAAAAUUGUAGACCUGCACAAGUCUGGGAUGGGCUACAGGACAAUAGGCAGGCAGCUUGAUCCUUCCAUGUUCACAAACCAUCCAGACCCUCUUCACAAGUACAAUAAAGCCCAUAAAUAAGAUUUUUUUUAUUUUUUUU
Molecule: long non-coding RNA, 463 nt
Organism: Oncorhynchus keta (chum salmon)
Lineage: Eukaryota; Metazoa; Chordata; Actinopteri; Salmoniformes; Salmonidae
Exons: 2
Source: RefSeq, a predicted model, not a curated record